Molecule: ribosomal RNA, 429 nt
Filed under: Acidobacteriota bacterium
Lineage: Bacteria; Pseudomonadati; Acidobacteriota
Description: Acidobacteria bacterium partial 16S ribosomal RNA
Rfam family: Bacterial small subunit ribosomal RNA
Source: RNAcentral
UGGGGAAUUUUGGACAAUGGGGGAAACCCUGAUCCAGCCAUCCCGCGUGUGCGAUGAAGGCCUUCGGGUUGUAAAGCCCUUUUGGCAGGGAAGAAACGUCAAGGGUUAAUACCCCGUGAAACUGACGGUACCUGCAGAAUAAGCACCGGCUAACUACGUGCCAGCAGCCGCGGUAAUACGUAGGGUGCAAGCGUUAAUCGGAAUUACUGGGCGUAAAGCGUGCGCAGGCGGUUCGGAAAGAAAGAUGUGAAAUCCCAGAGCUCAACUUUGGAACUGCAUUUUUAACUACCGGGCUAGAGUGUGUCAGAGGGAGGUGGAAUUCCGCGUGUAGCAGUGAAAUGCGUAGAUAUGCGGAGGAACACCGAUGGCGAAGGCAGCCUCCUGGGAUAACACUGACGCUCAUGCACGAAAGCGUGGGGAGCAAACAGG